Molecule: ribosomal RNA, 526 nt
Filed under: Scuticaria okinawae (shorttailed snake moray)
Lineage: Eukaryota; Metazoa; Chordata; Actinopteri; Anguilliformes; Muraenidae
Description: partial 16S rRNA
Rfam family: Bacterial large subunit ribosomal RNA
Source: RNAcentral
GUGUUUAACGGCCGCGGUAUUUUAACCGCGCGAAGGUAGCGUAAUCACCUGUCUUUUAAAUGGAGACCUGUAUGAAUGGCAUAACGAAGGUUUAACUGUCUCCUCUCCCCGGUCAAUGAAAUUGAUCUGCCCGUGCAGAAGCGGGCCCAACAACAUAAGACGAGAAGACCCUAUGGAGCUUUAGGCAUACACCCAAGCGCCCCAAGCCCCUCCAACACAACACGCAAGGAGAGUGGAAAGCGAACGCCCCUGGAUGAGUGAGCCUUCGGUUGGGGCGACCGUGGAGGAAAAAAAAGCCUCCAAGAAGAACAAGGAAAACCCUUAAGUCAAGAGAGACAUCUCUAAGCAACAGAAACUCUGACUACGUGUGACCCAGUAACUAACUGAUCAACGAACCAAGUUACCCUAGGGAUAACAGCGCAAUCCUUUCCCAGAGUCCAUAUCGACGAAAGGGCUUACGACCUCGAUGUUGGAUCAGGGCAUCCUAAUGGUGCAGCAGCUAUUAAGGGUUCGUUUGUUCAACGAU